This 21-nucleotide non-coding RNA is filed under the name Caenorhabditis elegans. The record is from RNAcentral. Lineage: Eukaryota; Metazoa; Nematoda; Chromadorea; Rhabditida; Rhabditidae.
UCCGUGAUUGUUUGCAUAAAU